AGGACGAACGCUGGCGGCGUGCUUAACACAUGCAAGUCGAGCGGAAAGGCCCUUCGGGGUACUCGAGCGGCGAACGGGUGAGUAACACGUGAGUAAUCUGCCCCUAGCUCUGGGAUAGCUCCGGGAAACCGGGAUUAAUACCGGAUAUGACCACUUUAGACAUCUGUUGUGGUGGAAAGAAUUUCGGCUAGGGAUGAGCUCGCGGCCUAUCAGCUUGUUGGUGGGGUAACGCCUACCAAGGCGACGACGGGUA
This 253-nucleotide ribosomal RNA is filed under the name uncultured bacterium. RNAcentral describes it as "partial small subunit ribosomal RNA". It matches the Rfam family "Bacterial small subunit ribosomal RNA", at positions 26 to 285 of the family's 1533-position model. The record is from RNAcentral.